UUAAUCUUUCAGCUCUGUAGAAGAUGCACAUCUGAGAUCUGAUGCAGAUUACUCCACGCAGCAUCCAGUUAAGGAACAUGAAUCGUGGUUUAUGAAGCCUCAAACACCUCAUUCUCUAAGAUCACAACUUAAGGAGAAAGAAGAAGAGUUGAAAUACCUUCAGUUUCUUCAAGAAGUUACAAAUGAUAUUUUGAUUAGAAGUUGUUACUGCAAGGAGUAAGUACUUGACAUUUCUUCUUAUUUAGUCAUCUGAAAAAAGAAAUUGUGACUAAUUUUAUAAUCAGUAUGAAGUAUUGGAGGACUUGUGAAGAUGAAGGCCGUAAUGCUAUUCUUGAAAUCGAUCCCUUUGAUUUGUCCUUCUUUUUUCUCCUGGCUUUUACACUUUGUAAUAGGAUAACCAAUAACACACACAGCUGAGAAACAAAAUGGGAAAUAUUUGCAGUGAUCUUCCUAUUUCCUGAAAACAUGGAGUAGAUGUAAACAGACAUUAUGUUCUCAGAGUCUGUUCGUAGGACUGAGCCAUUGCAUAAAAUGGUGAGAUGCAUUGUUGUUAUCGAGGUGGCUCUGUGUUCCAGUUCUGGUUUGAAUUGGUUUCUCCGAGCCUAGAUAAAGUAACACAGAGCUACAUUGAGUCUUCCGUAAUAAAGUGCCGCAGAG
This is a non-coding RNA of Chrysemys picta bellii (western painted turtle), 657 nucleotides long. The record is from RefSeq and is a predicted model, not a curated record. Lineage: Eukaryota; Metazoa; Chordata; Testudines; Emydidae.